Molecule: long non-coding RNA, 519 nt
Organism: Manacus vitellinus (golden-collared manakin)
Lineage: Eukaryota; Metazoa; Chordata; Aves; Passeriformes; Pipridae
Exons: 4
Source: RefSeq, a predicted model, not a curated record
GUCCCUGGGAUUAAGGGGGAAGUGGAGGUUUUAAUGAAGCAGACUCCAUUCUUCCGAGGGGUGAAGGGAGAUAACUUUUGAAGGGGAUAAAUGUAAGCAAAUGCUGAACAACAUGCCGAUUCUGAAGGCACAAACCCCCUCCACAGAACUGCAAAUUGAAGACUCAAGGCUCCUGUUUUGUUGAAAAGGGACUUUUGAGCCCAACAAGGGGUGUAUGCCAGAAAAUCCUGUGGUCAGCCCUGAAGGGCAAAACAGAUCUCUGCUGAGCAGAGCAGCAGAGGGAGUGUCAAAGCUGCAUGUUGGAGAUGGGGAAGAAAAAUCUCACCUUGGAUUCAGGAGCUGGAAUUCAUCCUAAACUCACACUUCAGCCUUCUUCUCCCAGGAGGAUCAGCAUCGGGGUAGAGGCGCUAUGGGACAACUCCUUUCCUGGGACAAGGGUAGACACAGGAGAACCUGAAUUUUUAUUAAAAGCUGGAAAACUGAAACCCAAAGGUGGAAAUCUGAUACCAGUGCAUUUCU